This 208-nucleotide long non-coding RNA is filed under the name Lathyrus oleraceus (garden pea). Its description in RNAcentral is "Pisum sativum (pea) long non-coding RNA (PSAT_LNC006490)". The record is from RNAcentral. Lineage: Eukaryota; Viridiplantae; Streptophyta; Magnoliopsida; Fabales; Fabaceae.
ACCGUUGGCACCCUAAUUCUAUUUUCUUUUUAUUUUAUUUUAUUUCAUUUCUUUUCCAUUUAAUUUCUCACUCAUUUUUAAUUCAAUUUGAUCCAAAUUUUUUACACAAGGUCUCUAAAAUUAUUUGCAUCACAUACAUUUUUCUCACAUUUUUUAAAAUCAUUUUUUAAUUUUUGGUUAUUUUUAUUUUAUUUUAUCUUUAAUUUUC